RNAcentral lists this ribosomal RNA (301 nucleotides) under uncultured bacterium. RNAcentral's name for it is "partial 16S ribosomal RNA". It matches the Rfam family "Bacterial small subunit ribosomal RNA", at positions 509 to 807 of the family's 1533-position model. The record is from RNAcentral.
CAGUAGCCGCGGGAAUACGAAGGGUGCAAGCGUUAAUCGGAAUUACUGGGCGUAAAGCGUGCGUAGGCGGUGAGUUAAGUCUGCUGUGAAAUCCCCGGGCUCAACCUGGGAAUGGCAGUGGAUACUGGCUCGCUAGAGUGUGUCAGAGGAUGGUGGAAUUCCCGGUGUAGCGGUGAAAUGCGUAGAGAUGUGGAGGAAUACCGAUGGCGAAGGCAGCCCCCUGGGCCAAUACUGACGCUCAUGCACGAAAGCGUGGGGAGCAAACAGGAUUAGAUACCCCCGUAGUCCCUGUCUCUUAUAC